This 826-nucleotide long non-coding RNA is filed under the name Cyanistes caeruleus (blue tit). Its description in RNAcentral is "lncRNA (ENSCCEG00000010055.1)". Lineage: Eukaryota; Metazoa; Chordata; Aves; Passeriformes; Paridae. The record is from RNAcentral.
UGUUAAUUCUGCCUAGAACUGGAACUAAGGAAGCAGUCUUUUAGUGAGGAAAAAUUGAACAGAAAUUACACUACGAUCAGAGCUGCACAGCACUGGAAAACAAAGGACUGCUUUUGCUCAGUGCCCUGGAAAACAGCUUACCUCCCAUGAGUGAAGUUUACAACUGAGUCAGGUAAUUGAACUGAAUAUCAACCACUGCAUGAAUAGCAGCAAAUACCUGGCAGAUGUAUGAGAAAAAGUUAUUUCCUGAGCAACCUGCAACAGAGAAAACAGUGAUCCCAGGACAGUUCCACAAUCCAUGGCUAAUGCUGUAGUAGCAUCUGCAGUAUGUCACUGCAAUCACACACAGCAAAGCCAGCAAGUGCCAGAGCCAGCAGCGGCAGAAGGCUCCAUUCCCGAGCACCGGCGGCUUCUCGGCGCUAAUGAGGCGGCGGCUGCUGCAGCAGGUGCCGCUCCUCUCCUCACGGCCACGGCUCCCGCUGCGGGGCUCGGGGGGCUCGGGGGACGCGGGGCUGCUGCAGGAGCAGCGAGCGUACUGCCAGCUGCACGGCUGGAAAAGCCGCAGCACCCCUGCGAGCUGCUCCUGCUCUCCCGGGGGGGAACACACACGCUGAGGGGCUCAGGCCGAGGGCGGGCCCGGCUGGGCCCCGAGCGCCGCCUCCUGCGGCCCUGCCAGCCAGCGAGCGGCCUGCGCAAACACCGGCGGCGGCGCAGCUGCUGCCGCCAGCGCCGGGGAAAACAAGCCAUUAAAUAGCUGAUCUAUCAAGUUUAAGCUAGAUGCCAAAGCAGAAAUAAACGUCUGUUAGACUGCCUAUUUUGUUUGGUU